This 253-nucleotide ribosomal RNA is filed under the name uncultured bacterium. Its description in RNAcentral is "partial 16S ribosomal RNA". It matches the Rfam family "Bacterial small subunit ribosomal RNA", at positions 524 to 776 of the family's 1533-position model. The record is from RNAcentral.
UACAGAGGGGGCAAGCGUUGUUCGGAAUUACUGGGCGUAAAGGGCGCGUAGGCGGCCUGUUAAGUCGAACGUGAAAUCCCUGGGCUCAACCCAGGAACUGCGUCCGAUACUGGUUGGCUUGAAUCCGGGAGAGGGACGUGGAAUUCCUGGUGUAGCGGUGGAAUGCGCAGAUAUCAGGAGGAACACCAAUAGCGAAGGCAGCUCGCUGGGUCGGUACUGACGCUAAGGCGCGAAAGCGUGGGGAGCGAACAGG